GACGAACGCUGGCGGCGUGCUUAACACAUGCAAGUCGAACGGAAAGGCCCCUUUGGGGGUCCUCGAGUGGCGAACGGGUGCGUAACACGUGAGUAACCUGCCCUUGACUUCGGGAUAACUUCAGGAAACUGGGGCUAAUACCGGAUAGGAAUCCUUGCUGCAUGGUGGGGGUUGGAAAGCUUCGGCGGUUUUGGAUGGACUCGCGGCUUAUCAGCUUGUUGGUGGGGUAGUGGCUUACCAAGGCUUUGACGGGUAGCCGGCCUGAGAGGGCGACCGGCCACAUUGGGACUGAGACACGGCCCAGACUCCUACGGGAGGCAGCAGUGGGGAAUAUUGCACAAUGGGCGGAAGCCUGAUGCAGCAACGCCGCGUGCGGGAUGACGGCCUUCGGGUUGUAAACCGCUUUCAGCAGGGGCGAAGCUUGUGGUGACGGUACCUGCAGAAGAAGCACCGGCUAACUACGUG
This 465-nucleotide ribosomal RNA is filed under the name uncultured bacterium. RNAcentral describes it as "partial 16S ribosomal RNA". It matches the Rfam family "Bacterial small subunit ribosomal RNA", at positions 28 to 507 of the family's 1533-position model. The record is from RNAcentral.